AGGGCUCCCAGCAAAGAGGCUGGAGGGGUAGGAGCUUGAGUGACUUGAGUGCUGAGGGCAAGAGGAGAGCUCUGAGAGCUCAGCUGUGGGCCACUGGAGCUGGAGAUGCCCUCGGGAGGGCCCAGAGCCACCGAGUUGUGGACGCUAGCUACCAUGACGCUAUCCUGACUUCCUUCAGACAACCUCAUCAAUGUGUCCCAGAACCGCACCUCUCCAGAGCUCUACCCAACUAGGAAAAGACAGGAACAGGCUGGGGCUAAGGAUCUACCUGCCAACAUACAUGUCCAGCAGAGAAGCAAUUACAGAAGCCAGAACUCCCACCUUCUGCACCCUACAAAGAAUUUUGGUCGAAACCCCCAGAGGG
Long non-coding RNA from Erinaceus europaeus (western European hedgehog), 364 nucleotides. RefSeq lists it as uncharacterized. The transcript is spliced from 2 exons. NCBI's taxonomy places the organism in Eukaryota, Metazoa, Chordata, Mammalia, Eulipotyphla, Erinaceidae. The record is from RefSeq and is a predicted model, not a curated record.